AUACGGAGGGUUCAAGCGUUAGUCGGAAUUACUGGGCGUAAAGCGUACGUAGGCGGACUAGUAAGUGAGGGGUGAAAUCCCAGGGCUCAACCCUGGAACUGCCUUUCAUACUGCUAGUCUUGAGGUCGAGAGAGGUGAGUGGAAUUCCGAGUGUAGAGGUGAAAUUCGCAGAUAUUCGGAGGAACACCAGUGGCGAAGGCGGCUCACUGGCUCGAUACUGACGCUGAGGUACGAAAGUGUGGGGAGCAAACAGGAUUAGAAACCCCAGUAGUCC
This 274-nucleotide ribosomal RNA is filed under the name uncultured bacterium. RNAcentral's name for it is "partial 16S ribosomal RNA". It matches the Rfam family "Bacterial small subunit ribosomal RNA", at positions 523 to 796 of the family's 1533-position model. The record is from RNAcentral.